This 429-nucleotide ribosomal RNA is filed under the name Actinomycetes bacterium. RNAcentral's name for it is "Actinobacteria bacterium partial 16S ribosomal RNA". It matches the Rfam family "Bacterial small subunit ribosomal RNA", at positions 355 to 776 of the family's 1533-position model. Lineage: Bacteria; Bacillati; Actinomycetota; Actinomycetes. The record is from RNAcentral.
UAGGGAAUCUUCCGCAAUGGGCGAAAGCCUGACGGAGCAACGCCGCGUGAGUGAUGAAGGUCUUCGGAUCGUAAAACUCUGUUAUUAGGGAAGAACAAAUGUGUAAGUAACUAUGCACGUCUUGACGGUACCUAAUCAGAAAGCCACGGCUAACUACGUGCCAGCAGCCGCGGUAAUACGUAGGUGGCAAGCGUUAUCCGGAAUUAUUGGGCGUAAAGCGCGCGUAGGCGGUUUUUUAAGUCUGAUGUGAAAGCCCACGGCUCAACCGUGGAGGGUCAUUGGGAACUAGAAAACUUGAGUGCAGAAGAGGAGAGUGGAAUUCCAUGUGUAGCAGUGAAAUGCGCAGAGAUAUGGAGGAACACCAGUGGCGAAGGCGACUAUCUGGUCUGUAACUGACGCUGAUGUGCGAAAGCGUGGGGAUCAAACAGG